Molecule: long non-coding RNA, 476 nt
Filed under: Homo sapiens (human)
Lineage: Eukaryota; Metazoa; Chordata; Mammalia; Primates; Hominidae
Description: HSALNT0382694
Source: RNAcentral
GUAUUGGCCCCAUUCUAGAGACGGUGGAGGGCAGAGAGAAAUGACAUGGAACUAACCUUAAGGAAUGCACUAUCUAGCCAGGAGACAGACAUACAGCCAAAUAUUCUGCUUUUAGCGUCUUCACAUUCAUGGCUUGAAGGUGGCCAUGGUGGGAGUAUUUACACCACAGAAAUCAGCAAAUGCUAUGCAUCAGGGCCCUAGGAAGGCCAAUUAUGAAACACCAGCAUAUGACAGGAUAGAAGAUGUCAGAGAAAAGCCUACUCAGCGUGAAGAUGACGAGGAUGAAGGCUUGCCUUUUUGAUGAUCCACUUCCCCUUAAUGAACAUAAUAUCCGGUGAAGACGAAGGAGCAAAAUGGUUUUAAGGCAGACUCACUUAUUUAAGAGAAGUAUAUAUUCCCAUUGCCGGUGGUUUGAUACCAUUUUUAUUUGCUUUCAAGUACACUGAGGUCUGGCAAGGCAAGGAAAGGAGGGAGAA